UCGGGAAUUUUGGGCAAUGGGCGAAAGCCUGACCCAGCAACGCCGCGUGAAGGAUGAAGUAUUUCGGUAUGUAAACUUCGAAAGAAUAGGAAGAAUAAAUGACGGUACUAUUUAUAAGGUCCGGCUAACUACGUGCCAGCAGCCGCGGUAAUACGUAGGGACCAAGCGUUGUUCGGAUUUACUGGGCGUAAAGGGCGCGUAGGCGGCAAUUCAAGUCAUCUGUGAAAUCUCCGGGCUUAACUCGGAACGGUCAGAUGAUACUGCUUUGCUAGAGUGCAGAAGGGGCAAUCGGAAUUCUUGGUGUAGCGGUGAAAUGCGUAGAUAUCAAGAGGAACACCUGUGGCGAAGGCGGCCACCUGGUUGGAUACUGACGCUGAGACGCGAAAGCGUGGGGAGCAAACAGGAUUAGAUACCCGCGUAGUCCCUGAGCGGGCUGGCAAGGCGCAU
Molecule: ribosomal RNA, 447 nt
Filed under: uncultured bacterium
Lineage: Bacteria
Description: bacterial SSU rRNA
Rfam family: Bacterial small subunit ribosomal RNA
Source: RNAcentral